RNAcentral lists this ribosomal RNA (303 nucleotides) under uncultured bacterium. RNAcentral describes it as "partial 16S ribosomal RNA". It matches the Rfam family "Bacterial small subunit ribosomal RNA", at positions 507 to 808 of the family's 1533-position model. The record is from RNAcentral.
AGCAGUCGCCGCGGUAAUACGUAGGUCCCGAGCGUUGUCCGGAUUUAUUGGGCGUAAAGCGAGCGCAGGCGGUUAGAUAAGUCUGAAGUUAAAGGCUGUGGCUUAACCAUAGUACGCUUUGGAAACUGUUUAACUUGAGUGCAAGAGGGGAGAGUGGAAUUCCAUGUGUAGCGGUGAAAUGCGUAGAUAUAUGGAGGAACACCGGUGGCGAAAGCGGCUCUCUGGCUUGUAACUGACGCUGAGGCUCGAAAGCGUGGGGAGCAAACAGGAUUAGAGACCCCUGUAGUCCCUGUCUCUUAUACA